CUCAAAAUAUUGUCAUGGAAUCCAAUUGUUGUCGGAAUUGGAUUUAAAAACGACAAAAAAAUUACUUUGGUGUCAUGAAAUCCAAUGUUAUCGGUUUUAUGUUCGAAUCGGAAUUAGUGUCGAUUUUAGGUGUCACAGAUACCAAUAAUAUCGAUUUUGGUAUCGGAAACAAACCAAGCAGCUAACGGCUGUUGGAUUUCAUUUGUUUAUUAGUUUUCCUUACUUCCAGUUGGAUAUUUUAUAAAAAUAGCCGGGAUAGAGUGCAUCGACGGCUCGAAUUUUCAUGUCACCAUCACACAUCUAAAUAAAAAUGUACAUGCAUAUAUAUAAAUCAAGGCAAUGUACGAGUAAAAUGAAGAUUCAUGAUUACUUACAAUCAGGGCAUUCAUACUGAAUUAUUUUCGAUUAUAAAAUAAAUGUUCGUCAAUACUGGG
RNAcentral lists this long non-coding RNA (434 nucleotides) under Rhagoletis pomonella (apple maggot). RNAcentral describes it as "uncharacterized LOC118740624". The record is from RNAcentral. Lineage: Eukaryota; Metazoa; Arthropoda; Insecta; Diptera; Tephritidae.